Molecule: ribosomal RNA, 305 nt
Filed under: uncultured bacterium
Lineage: Bacteria
Description: bacterial SSU rRNA
Rfam family: Bacterial small subunit ribosomal RNA
Source: RNAcentral
CCUACGGGGGGCAGCAGUGGGGAAUAUUGCACAAUGGGGGAAACCCUGAUGCAGCAACGCCGCGUGAGUGAAGAAGUAUUUCGGUAUGUAAAGCUCUAUCAGCAGGGAAGAAAAUGACGGUACCUGAGUAAGAAGCCCCGGCUAACUACGUGCCAGCAGCCGCGGUAAUACGUAGGGGGCAAGCGUUAUCCGGAUUUACUGGGUGUAAAGGGAGCGUAGACGGCGAUACAAGUCUGAAGUGAAAGCCCGGGGCUCAACCCCGGGACUGCUUUGGAAACUGUGUUGCUGGAGUGCUGGAGAGGCAA